CUGCGGAUGGCUCAUUAAAUCAGGUAUCGUUUAUUUGAUAGUACCUUACUACACGGAUAUCUGUGGUAAUUCUAGAGUUAAUACGUGCUAAAAACCUCGACUUCGGAAGGGGUGUAUUUAUUAGACUAAAAACCAAUGCCCUUCGGGGCUCCUUGGUGAUUCAUAAUAACUCAACGAAUCGCAUGGCCUUGCGCCGGCGAUGGUUCAUUCAAAUUUCUGCCCUAUCAACUUUCGAUGCUAGGGUAGUGGCCUAGCAUGGUUACAACGGGUAACGGGGGAUUAGGGUUCUAUUCCGGAGAGGGAGCCUGAGAAACGGCUACCACAUCCAAGGAAGGCAGCAGGCGCGCAAAUUACCCAAUCCCGACACGGGGAGGUAGUGACAAUAAAUACUGAUACAGGGCUCUUUUGGGUCUUGUAAUUGGAAUGAGUACGAUUUAAACACCCUAACGAGGAACAAUUGGAGGGCAAGUCUGGUGCCAGCAGCCGCGGUAAUUCCAGCUCCAAUAGCGUAUAUUAAAGUUGUUGCAGUUAAAACGCUCGUCGUUGAACCUUGGGCCUGGGCGACCGGUCUCCCUCACCGGAUGCACUGGUUCGGCCGGGCCUUUCCUUCUGGGGAAUCGCAUGCCCUUCGCUGGGCGUGUCGAGGAUCCAGGACUUUUACUUUGAAAAAAUUAGAGUGUUCAAAGCAGGCCUUUGCUCGAAUACCUUAGCAUGGAAUAAUAGAAUAGGACGUGCGGUCCUAUUUUGUUGGUUUCUAGGACCGCCGUAAUGAUUAAUAGGGUCAGUUGGGGGCAUCAGUAUUCAAUUGUCAGAGGUGAAAUUCUUAGAUUUAUUGAAGACUAACUACUGCGAAAGCAUUUGCCAAAGAUGUUUUCAUUAAUCAGUGAACGAAAGUUAGGGGAUCGAAGACGAUCAGAUACCGUCGUAGUCCUAACCAUAAACUAUGCCGACUAGGGAUCGGGCGAUGUUAUCAUUUUGACUCGCUCGGCACCUUACGAGAAAUCAAAGUGUUUGGGUUCUGGGGGAG
RNAcentral lists this ribosomal RNA (1027 nucleotides) under Aliquandostipite khaoyaiensis. RNAcentral describes it as "SSU rRNA". It matches the Rfam family "Eukaryotic small subunit ribosomal RNA", at positions 87 to 1123 of the family's 1831-position model. Lineage: Eukaryota; Fungi; Ascomycota; Dothideomycetes; Jahnulales; Aliquandostipitaceae. The record is from RNAcentral.